AGAGUUUGAUCCUGGCUCAGGAUGAACGCUAGCGGCGGGCCUAAUACAUGCAAGUCGAACGGAACUACUGAUUUCGGUUGGUAGUUUAGUGGCGCACGGGUGAGUAACGCGUACACAACGUACCUAUUACCGGGGAAUAGCCUUUGGAAACGAGGAGUAAUACCCCAUAGUAUGUUUGGAAGGCAUCUUCUGAAUAUUAAAGUUACGGCGGUAAUAGAUCGGUGUGCGUAAGAUUAGCUAGUUGGUGAGGUAACGGCUCACCAAGGCGACGAUCUUUAGGGGGCGUGAGAGCGUGAUCCCCACACGGGUACUGAGACACGGACCCGACUCCUACGGGAGGCAGCAGUAAGGAAUAUUGGUCAAUGGAGGCAACUCUGAACCAGCCACGCCGCGUGGACGAUGAAGGCCCUCUGGGUUGUAAAGUUCUUUAGUCUGGGACGAAAAAGGAGAUUUAUCUUCGACUGACGGUACCAGAAGAAUAAGCACCGGCUAACUCCGUG
RNAcentral lists this ribosomal RNA (500 nucleotides) under uncultured bacterium. Its description in RNAcentral is "bacterial SSU rRNA". It matches the Rfam family "Bacterial small subunit ribosomal RNA", at positions 8 to 507 of the family's 1533-position model. The record is from RNAcentral.